CUACUGAAGAAAAUGCUGUGAGUGUGUCAGAUGUAUAGUGUAUGGCUAGAAAUAGGCCUAUGGAAAUUUGGAGAAUUAGGCAUACUCCAAUAAGGGAUCCAAAGUUUCACCAUCCUGAGAUGUUUGAAGGGGCUGGAAGGUCAAUAAAAGCAUGAUUUACUAUUUUUAUAAGAGGAUGGGAUUUGCGUAUGAUUGUCAUUAUAUAUAAUUUUUAUAGCUGAAUUAACAACGAUGAUUUUUCAUGUCAUGGGUCAUGGUUUAAGUCCAUGUAAAAAUUAUGACAAAUUUACUUUAUUUAACUUUAAUUUUAAUGUUAGUCCUAUUAGUGCUAGGGUUAU
Molecule: long non-coding RNA, 338 nt
Organism: Perognathus longimembris pacificus (Pacific pocket mouse)
Lineage: Eukaryota; Metazoa; Chordata; Mammalia; Rodentia; Heteromyidae
Exons: 3
Source: RefSeq, a predicted model, not a curated record